GGCGAACUGGUGAGUAACACGUGGGAAACCUGCCCAGAAGCGGGGGAUAACACCUGGAAACAGAUGCUAAUACCGCAUAACAACUUGGACCGCAUGGUCCGAGUUUGAAAGAUGGCUUCGGCUAUCACUUUUGGAUGGUCCCGCGGCGUAUUAGCUAGAUGGUGAGGUAACGGCUCACCAUGGCAAUGAUACGUAGCCGACCUGAGAGGGUAAUCGGCCACAUUGGGACUGAGACACGGCCCAAACUCCUACGGGAGGCAGCAGUAGGGAAUCUUCCACAAUGGACGAAAGUCUGAUGGAGCAACGCCGCGUGAGUGAAGAAGGGUUUCGGCUCGUAAAACUCUGUUGUUAAAGAAGAACAUAUCUGAGAGUAACUGUUCAGGUAUUGACGGUAUUUAACCAGAAAGCCACGGCUAACUACGUGCCAGCAGCCGCGGUAAUACGUAGGUGGCAAGCGUUGUCCGGAUUUAUUGGGCGUAAAGCGAGCGCAGGCGGUUUUUUAAGUCUGAUGUGAAAGCCUUCGGCUCAACCGAAGAAGUGCAUCGGAAACUGGGAAACUUGAGUGCAGAAGAGGACAGUGGAACUCCAUGUGUAGCGGUGAAAUGCGUAGAUAUAUGGAAGAACACCAGUGGCGAAGGCGGCUGUCUGGUCUGUAACUGACGCUGAGGCUCGAAAGUAUGGGUAGCAAACAGGAUUAGAUACCCUGGUAGUCCAUACCGUAAACGAUGAAUGCUAAGUGUUGGAGGGUUUCCGCCCUUCAGUGCUGCAGCUAACGCAUUAAGCAUUCCGCCUGGGGAGUACGGCCGCAAGGCUGAAACUCAAAGGAAUUGACGGGGGCCCGCACAAGCGGUGGAGCAUGUGGUUUAAUUCGAAGCUACGCGAAGAACCUUACCAGGUCUUGACAUACUAUGCAAAUCUAAGAGAUUAGACGUUCCCUUCGGGGACAUGGAUACAGGUGGUGCAUGGUUGUCGUCAGCUCGUGUCGUGAGAUGUUGGGUUAAGUCCCGCAACGAGCGCAACCCUUAUUAUCAGUUGCCAGCAUUAAGUUGGGCACUCUGGUGAGACUGCCGGUGACAAACCGGAGGAAGGUGGGGAUGACGUCAAAUCAUCAUGCCCCUUAUGACCUGGGCUACACACGUGCUACAAUGGAUGGUACAACGAGUUGCGAACUCGCGAGAGUAAGCUAAUCUCUUAAAGCCAUUCUCAGUUCGGAUUGUAGGCUGCAACUCGCCUACAUGAAGUCGGAAUCGCUAGUAAUCGCGGAUCAGCAUGCCGCGGUGAAUACGUUCCCGGGCCUUGUACACA
This 1305-nucleotide ribosomal RNA is filed under the name Lactiplantibacillus paraplantarum. RNAcentral describes it as "bacterial SSU rRNA". It matches the Rfam family "Bacterial small subunit ribosomal RNA", at positions 97 to 1389 of the family's 1533-position model. The record is from RNAcentral. Lineage: Bacteria; Bacillati; Bacillota; Bacilli; Lactobacillales; Lactobacillaceae.